Long non-coding RNA from Juglans microcarpa x Juglans regia, 1715 nucleotides. RefSeq lists it as uncharacterized. The transcript is spliced from 2 exons. The record is from RefSeq and is a predicted model, not a curated record. Lineage: Eukaryota; Viridiplantae; Streptophyta; Magnoliopsida; Fagales; Juglandaceae.
GAGCCCAAAGACAGACAAAGUCAAAAAGAAUAAAGAAGCUGGGCAUGAAUGCAUAAAAACAUAAACACAAGAUUCCUUCUUUUUUUUCAAAAAAAAAACAUCAAGAAGAAAUGAUAAUACUUUAUUUUUUAAGAAAGACAGUUUUAUUAAUACGAAUGAAAUAAGUGAAGCCCAAGUACACCGAGUAUAUAAAGAAGUGAUAAUACGUAGAUAAGAAUCUGCUGCGUCCAUCCUUAUAUGGUGGCAAGGCAUCAUACAGGCAGCAUUACCUCUAGGUUCAAGUGUUUCUUUUGCCAAGUUUAGAUACUCACGCAUAUAAUACAAAUUAAAACAAAGGAAACUCUUAUCUGAAAGGAAGAUAAAAAAAACAUCUUAUAAUAAGCCAAGUUAAUCCAAAACUCAAUAUCCAAAAGAUUUUGAGAGACAACAUACUGUUUUCUCAACAAAUGUUGAAGCGGUACAGAGAAGUGGUUCCACAAACAUAAAUAAUGUCGAUUCUUGCAUACAAAGUGAAUGGCAUCAAUGAUAAAUUUAUAAAAUGUGUUAAGUAGAACUGAAUUAAGCUUGGAAGAGCAAAUUCCUUUUUUCAAUAACUAAAUCAUGAUUAGCAAGCUGAAAGCGGAAAUACAGUUUAUCCAAUGUGGGUAUGUCAUAAAAUCAAAAACUUCAAUACAAGUUAUUUGUAAAGGAAAACCUCCUAGUGGUCAGGGUUCAAUUUGUCUUUCCUAAAACCAGCCACAACAUGUCACUUCAUGAAUCGAUUCUCAUGAAAAAAUUAGUGAGAGAAUUAGAAAAUAUGUAAAAUAACAGGGCAUCUGGUUGGUUAGGAAGAAUUUAUAACUUAAUGACUCAUAAGAAAGUCAGGUGCUACGAGCUAAAGUUUAGAUAGAUUUUAAUUUCUGUCCUGUUUUCUUUCUUUUUAUUUUAUCGGUAAUUUCUGUCCUGUUUUCUUAGAAUAGAGAAGUCGCUAAUUGGCUGAAUAUACGAACUAGAAAAGUGGAACUCGAUUCCACCCCAAACAUAGUCCAUUACAAAAUGAAUAAACAAUUGGUCAAGGGCGAAGGAAAGCCGAGCGGGGGAAAAGCAGAACAACCGUACCAAGGUGUGUGUAGACAGAGUAUAUUUGUAUGAGCCCCAAGGACGAGCUUAUCACCGUUUUCCACUUGAUCGGUGCAACCCUUCACAUUAUCGAGCGAACCACCAUAGACCUUAAUCCCAGGUACCAGCUGCUUUAUCUUAUCAUUUCCACCAGCGUGAUCCCUAUUAGAAUACCGGCGUUAAAUUGAAAACUAAAAACUAUAACAAAGGCAACGAAUAUUCAGCGGUCUAUAUUUGGCAAAGAUAGAAAGCGUAAAUCAGACUGAACAAAAUCGUGAUGGAAUAUCCGGGUGUAUCCAGGGGGUGAGUGUUUCUGUGACACCUGUUCUCUAAGGGGGAGAAGAGUGGUGAAUCUGUGAUACCAGUGAUGGUGGGUGGUGAGAACGAGCUUGAGAAGGACGCCAUGUUGUUUAGCAGCUUCUACAACCUUCUCGGCCUCCACAGGAUCCACUGCUGCGGCUUCUUUCGAGCUCUCAUCGACGAUGCUGCAAGUGCAAACCCUAAGUCCAACAACACGAGGCUAAAGAGGAAGUAAAAAAUAUUGUGGAGAAUCGGAGAUCUAUCAUCGUUCGUUUUAAUUCGGCAGCAACGUUUAAUGAACCAUCAAAACAAAAAUA